RNAcentral lists this ribosomal RNA (292 nucleotides) under uncultured bacterium. RNAcentral describes it as "partial 16S ribosomal RNA". The record is from RNAcentral.
GGACUACCCGGGUAUCUAAUCCUGUUUGCUCCCCUAGCUUUCGCAGAUCAGCGUCAGUGACGGCCCAGAAGCCUGCUUUCGCCAUAGGUGUUCCUCCCGAUCUCUACGCAUUUCACCGCUACACCGGGAAUUCCAGCUUCCUCUGCCGCACUCAAGCCCGGUAGUUUCCCUUGACCUCUCCCAGUUAAGCCAGGAGCUUUCACAAGAGACUUACCGAACCGCCUGCCCGCGCUUUACGCCUAGUGAUUCCGAGUAACGCUUGCCACCUACGUAUUACCGCGGCUGCUGGCAC